UUUUGGACCACAUAUGCACAAAUGAUCACCUUUUCAGUUGAACAAGCCUCCACCAUGGAAAGGAAUAUAGGGAAUUUUCAAAUCCCUGCAGGAUCUCUCACAGUCUUUUUUGUCGCCGCAAUCCUAAUCACUCUAGCUGUCAAUGAUCGAGUCAUCAUGCCCCUUUGGAAGAAAUUUAAGGGCAAACCAGGUAUAAAACAACUCGUGAUUUGUUAUACAUAUACAUUAUAACAUCAACUAUCGACUUAUUUAUCAACUUAUCAACAACUAAUAUUACUCACUUUUUACUAUGCAUGUAGAGUCAACUGAUAAUGCCAAAUUUGACUACAAAUAACUUACCAAAAGUUUAGACAAACGAGAUCGAAUCAAUCAAUCCUUGUUAUAAAAAGAAAUAAAAUAUUGCAUAUAGACGUAGAUUAUGUUAGUUUUCAGGGUUUGAACCUUGGAUCUCCAACUUAGCUGUCUGCUUUCUACAUGUCACAGGUUUCACCAACCUACAAAGGAUUGCCAUUGGACUUUUUUUGUCAAUAUUGGGUAUGAUGGCUGCUUCUCUAGGUGAAGUGAAACGGUUAUCAGUUGCAAAAGGCGCAAAAGGCAAUCAAACAACACUACCAAUAAGUGUUUUCCUUUUAG
This 633-nucleotide long non-coding RNA is filed under the name Trifolium pratense (red clover). Its description in RNAcentral is "long non-coding RNA (TPRA_LNC011829)". Lineage: Eukaryota; Viridiplantae; Streptophyta; Magnoliopsida; Fabales; Fabaceae. The record is from RNAcentral.